ACACGGAGGGCGCAAGCGUUGCUCGGAAUCACUGGGCGUAAAGCGGGUGUAGGCGGUCUAGCAAGUCAGAUGUGAAAGCCCACGGCUCAACCGUGGAAGUGCAUCUGAAGCUGCUAGACUUGAGUGCCGGAGAGGGAAGUGGAAUUCCUGGUGUAGGGGUGAAAUCCGUAGAUAUCAGGAGGAACACCGGUGGCGAAGGCGACUUCCUGGACGGCCACUGACGCUGAGACCCGAAAGCGUGGGGAGCAAACAGGAUUAGAAACCCUAGUAGUCC
RNAcentral lists this ribosomal RNA (274 nucleotides) under uncultured bacterium. Its description in RNAcentral is "partial 16S ribosomal RNA". It matches the Rfam family "Bacterial small subunit ribosomal RNA", at positions 523 to 796 of the family's 1533-position model. The record is from RNAcentral.